UUUAGAAACAUCAGUGGCCAACGAUCGUCAGGAUUGUUGAGCUGCAUUGGCGGGAUUUCGCCGUCUUCGUUUCUCUUUCUUCGCGGACGAACACGCGCUGGGGCUGCAGGCUUGCAGAAUCCCUGGUCCUUGACUGGAUAUGCGUUAGGGGCUUGUAGCUCAGUUGGUUAGAGCGCGCGCUUGAUAAGCGUGAGGUCGGAAGUUCAAGUCUUCCCAGGCCCACCACACUCAUCGAGUGAGCAUUCGUCUUCUGGUUACGGGGCCAUAGCUCAGCUGGGAGAGCGCGUGCUUUGCAAGCAUGAGGUCGUCGGUUCGAUCCCGUCUGGCUCCACCAGAUGGUUUGAUCAUCGACUGAUCGUGCAUCUAAAUCGUCCGCGAAACAUCACUUCGCACUUACUAGUCCGGAUGGACAGUGAGCUGCGUGAUUUCUGACAUCGUANAGAGGAGAUCGAUCCGAGUUGGAUCGGGCAACAAGCAAUUGUUGCGCGAUACUUCAUUAUCUCCGGAUCAUUUCGGCGCUCGUGCGUCUUUCAAUGUAGCUCACAAGGCUGCGUUUGAGAGACAUGCGAGUUGUAAAUGAUCCUUUUAGCGAAGCUUGACCGCCUCGCUAUCGGAACGAUCUUACGAAGCAAGCUGGUCUUUCUAAUCAUUGUCCGGCUGUGAGAAUAGCGUUCAUCGAGGACGCGCGCCGCAAGGCAGUUCUUACAGACAACAUUCUGCCGAGUGUGUGGACAUUGAUAAUGAGAGCAAUCAAGUGCCUUAAGGGUGUUCGGUGGAUGCCUUGGCGCUGAGAGGCGAUGAAGGACGUGCUACGCUGCGNAUAAGCCGUGGGGAGCUGCGAAGAAG
This 846-nucleotide unclassified non-coding RNA is filed under the name Bradyrhizobium japonicum. RNAcentral describes it as "partial 16S-23S ribosomal RNA intergenic spacer". The stretch from base 149 to 222 matches the Rfam family "tRNA". Lineage: Bacteria; Pseudomonadati; Pseudomonadota; Alphaproteobacteria; Hyphomicrobiales; Nitrobacteraceae. The record is from RNAcentral.